ACGUAGGCAGCGAGCGUUGUUCGGAGUUACUGGGUGUAAAGGGUUCGUAGGCGGUGUGGCAAGUUGGGAGUGAAAUCUCUGGGCUCAACCCAGAGGCUGCUUCCAAAACUGCUGUGCUUGAGUGUGGGAGAGGCGCGUGGAAUUGCAGGUGUAGCGGUGAAAUGCGUAGAUAUCUGCAGGAACACCCGUGGCGAAAGCGGCGCGCUGGACCACAACUGACGCUGAGGAACGAAAGCUAGGGGAGCAAACAGGA
Molecule: ribosomal RNA, 253 nt
Filed under: uncultured prokaryote
Description: partial 16S ribosomal RNA
Rfam family: Bacterial small subunit ribosomal RNA
Source: RNAcentral